RNAcentral lists this RNase P RNA (381 nucleotides) under Rhodovulum sp. P5. Its description in RNAcentral is "Bacterial RNase P class A". It matches the Rfam family "Bacterial RNase P class A". From Rfam's summary of the family: Ribonuclease P (RNase P) is a ubiquitous endoribonuclease, found in archaea, bacteria and eukarya as well as chloroplasts and mitochondria. Its best characterised activity is the generation of mature 5'-ends of tRNAs by cleaving the 5'-leader elements of precursor-tRNAs. The record is from Rfam by way of RNAcentral. Lineage: Bacteria; Pseudomonadati; Pseudomonadota; Alphaproteobacteria; Rhodobacterales; Paracoccaceae.
GCGGAUGGCCGGAUGGCCGCGGUCCCGUCAGGGGUCGAGGAAAGUCCGGACUCCACGGAGCGACGGUGCCGGGUAACGCCCGGCGGGGGAAACCCCAGGGACAGCGCCACAGAGAACAGACCGCCCCCGCCUGCGGGGGUAAGGGUGAAACGGUGGGGUAAGGGCCCACCGCGGGACUGGCAACAGGACCGGCACGGCAAGCCCCACCGGGAGCAAUGCCGAAUAGGGACCCCGCGCACCGCGCGUGCAGGGCAGCUUCGGCCCAGGGGUCCGGGUUGGCAGCUAGAGCGUAUCGGCAACGAUGCGCGCAGAGGAAUGGUCAUCCAGCCCCGGAUCACGGUUCGGGGUGGACAGAAUCCGGCUUACAGGCCGUCCGCGCAU